CCUACGGUAGGCAGCAGUGAGGAAUAUUGGUCAAUGGACGCAAGUCUGAACCAGCCAUGCCGCGUGCAGGAAGACGGCUCUAUGAGUUGUAAACUGCUUUUGUACGAGGGUAAACGCAGAUACGCGUAUCUGUCUGAAAGUAUCGUACGAAUAAGGAUCGGCUAACUCCGUGCCAGCAGCCGCGGUAAUACGGAGGAUUCAAGCGUUAUCCGGAUUUAUUGGGUUUAAAGGGUGCGUAGGCGGUCGGAUAAGUUAGAGGUGAAAUCCCGAGGCUCAACUUCGGAAUUGCCUCUGAUACUGGUCGGCUAGAGAGGAGUUGCGGUAGGCGGAAUGUAUGGGGUAGCGGUGAAAUGCUUAGAGAUCAUACAGAACACCGAUUGCGAAGGCAGCUUACCAAGCUACUUCUGACGUUGAGGCACGAAAGCGUGGGGAGCAAACAGGAUUAGAUACCCCAGUAGUC
Molecule: ribosomal RNA, 460 nt
Filed under: uncultured bacterium
Lineage: Bacteria
Description: partial 16S ribosomal RNA
Rfam family: Bacterial small subunit ribosomal RNA
Source: RNAcentral